GAUGAACGCUGGCGGCGUGCCUAAUACAUGCAAGUCGAGCGAACAGACUCGGAGUUUCCUCCUCUGUCGUUUGCCGCGGACGGGUGAGUAACACGUGUAUACCCUACUUCUAAUCCUGGGAUAACUUCGAGACACCGGAGCUAAUCCCGGAUAAUAUAUUUAACCGCAUUGUUCAAUAGUGAAAUUCGGUUUUGCUGGAACUUAUAGCUGAUUUCCCGCCGGAUUAGCUAGUUGGUAAGGUAACGGCCUACCAAGACAACGAUGCGUAGCCGACCUGAGAGGGUGAUCGGCCACAUUGGAACGUGGACACGGUCAAUACGCCUACGGGAGGCAGCAGUAGGGAAUCGUACGCAAUGGGCGGAAGCCUGACGGAACAGCGCCGCGUGAGUGAUGAAGGUGUUCGGAGCGGAAAACUCUGUUAUGAGGGAAGAACAAAUGUGUAAGUAACUGUGCACGUAGUGACGGUACCUGAUCAAAAAGCAACGGCUAACUACGUG
RNAcentral lists this ribosomal RNA (497 nucleotides) under uncultured bacterium. RNAcentral describes it as "partial 16S ribosomal RNA". It matches the Rfam family "Bacterial small subunit ribosomal RNA", at positions 28 to 507 of the family's 1533-position model. The record is from RNAcentral.